This 369-nucleotide ribosomal RNA is filed under the name uncultured phototrophic eukaryote. RNAcentral's name for it is "SSU rRNA". It matches the Rfam family "Bacterial small subunit ribosomal RNA", at positions 524 to 896 of the family's 1533-position model. The record is from RNAcentral.
UACGGGGGAUGCAAGCGUUAUCCGAAAUUAUUGGGCGUAAAGCGCCUGUAGGUUGUUUAUUAAGUCUGUUGUUAAAGCCUAGGGCUUAACCCUAGAAAAGCAAUGGAAACUAAUAGACUAGAGUAUGGUAGGGGUAGAGGGAAUUUCUAGUGUAGCGGUGAAAUGCGUAGAUAUUAGAAAGAACACCAGUGGCGAAAGCGCUCUACUGGACCAUUACUGACACUCAGAGGCGAAAGCUAGGGUAGCAAAAGGGAUUAGAUACCCCUGUAGUCCUAGCCGUAAACGAUGGAUACUAGAUGUUGUGUUUAUAAUACAGUAUCGUAGCUAACGCGUUAAGUAUCCCGCCUGGGGAGUACGCUCGCAAGGGUG